GACGAACGCUGGCGGCGUGCCUAACACAUGCAAGUCGAGCGAGUUCCUCACCUUCGGGAGUGAAGCUACCUGCGGACGGGUGAGUAACACGUGGGCAACCUGCCUCAUAGAGGGGAAUCUUUCUUCGAAAGGAAGAUUAAUACCGUAUCAUGUUGUAGCUUCGCAUGAAGUAGCAAUUAUAGGAGCAAUCCGCUAUGAGAUGGGCCCGCGGCGCAUUAGCUAGUUGGUGAGGUAACGGCUCACCAAGGCGACGAUGCGUAGCCGAACUGAGAGGGUGAUCGGGCACAUUGGGACUGAGACACGGCCCAGACUCCUACGGGAGGCAGCAGUGGGGAAUAUUGCACAAUGGGGGAAACCCUGAUGCAGCAACGCCGCGUGAGUGAUGACGGCCUUCGGGUUGUAAAGCUCUGUCUUCAGGGACGAUAAUGACGGUACCUGAGGAGGAAGCCACGGCUAACUACGUGCCAGCAGCCGCGGUAA
RNAcentral lists this ribosomal RNA (480 nucleotides) under uncultured bacterium. Its description in RNAcentral is "partial 16S ribosomal RNA". It matches the Rfam family "Bacterial small subunit ribosomal RNA", at positions 28 to 523 of the family's 1533-position model. The record is from RNAcentral.